Molecule: non-coding RNA, 559 nt
Organism: Pogona vitticeps (central bearded dragon)
Lineage: Eukaryota; Metazoa; Chordata; Lepidosauria; Squamata; Agamidae
Source: RefSeq, a predicted model, not a curated record
UUUGAGCUCACCUGCCUCCUUUUCAAGUCUUACCUACAUUUCUGUGGGCAUCACAGCCGGAACACAAAUUUAAGCCUUUAGAAAAGGAAGCUUGCAUGCAAGAAGAGCAGACAAAAGACACAGGCUUACAAUUUCAAUUGGAAAAUCAAUUAGCAACAUAGUAAAGGAUCCUACAUCAUUCUCAAAAGAUAAAACGAGUUAAGAACUGGCUGCAGAAAAAAAAGCACAAGCCGCGAAAGACCACAAUCCUAAUUAAAAGUGGGAGGGUACCAUUUCUGUAGCCAAUGUACAGGCCCAAGAAGAUGUCUGAGUUCAAGGAAGGAUACUGCGGAGGAGGCAGUGCUGUUCCCUUAGUAGCAGGACUGAAAUGUCCCAUUACUUCCUUUCCUUGACGCAACGAAGAGGCCCAUCAGAGCUUGGCAUAGGGAGCAUCCCGAUCUUCCUACCAACAGCCAUGUUGCAAUCUAAACCGUAGCCCCAGCUAGACAUCUGUACCUGCCAAGUGGUUACUGGAGGCCUGACAGAAACAGAUGCCAGGGCCUGUCAUGUACUUUCAAAA